AUUGAACGCUGGCGGCAUGCCUUACACAUGCAAGUCGAACGGCAGCACGGGAGCUUGCUCCUGGUGGCGAGUGGCGAACGGGUGAGUAAUACAUCGGAACGUACCCAGUAGUGGGGGAUAACGCCCCGAAAGGUGCGCUAAUACCGCAUACGACCUACGGGUGAAAGCGGUGGACCGUAAGGCCUCGCGCUAUUGGAGCGGCCGAUGUCUUAUUAGGUAGUUGGUGAGGUAAAGGCUCACCAAGGCUUCGAUCGGUAGCUGGUCGGAGAGGACGAUCGGCCACACUGGGACUAAGACACGGCCCAGACUCCUACGGGAGGCGGAAGUGGGGAAUUUUGGAAAAUGGGCGAAAGCCUGAUCCAGCAAUGCCGCGUGUGCGAAGAAGGCCUUCGGGUUGUAAAGCACUUUUGUCAGGGAAGAAAUCUUUUAGGCUAAUACCCUGGAAGGAUGACGGUACCUGAAGAAUAAGCACCGGCUAACUACGUGCCAGCAGCCGCCGUAA
This 502-nucleotide ribosomal RNA is filed under the name uncultured bacterium. Its description in RNAcentral is "partial 16S ribosomal RNA". It matches the Rfam family "Bacterial small subunit ribosomal RNA", at positions 30 to 523 of the family's 1533-position model. The record is from RNAcentral.